RNAcentral lists this ribosomal RNA (253 nucleotides) under uncultured bacterium. Its description in RNAcentral is "partial 16S ribosomal RNA". It matches the Rfam family "Bacterial small subunit ribosomal RNA", at positions 524 to 776 of the family's 1533-position model. The record is from RNAcentral.
GACGUAGGGCGCGAGCGUUGUCCGGAUUUAUUGGGCGUAAAGAGCUCGUAGGCGGCUUGUCGCGUCGACUGUGAAAACCCACGGCUUAACUGUGGGCUUGCCGUCGAUACGGGCAGGCUAGAGUUCGGUAGGGGAGACUGGAGUUCCUGGUGUAGCGGUGAAAUGCGCAGAUAUCAGGAGGAACACCGGUGGCGAAGGCGGGUCUCUGGGCCGAUACUGACGCUGAGGAGCGAAAGCGUGGGGAGCGAACAGG